AUGCUCGCUUUGGUAGCACAUAUACUAAAACUGGAACAAUGCAGAGAAGAUUAGCAUGGCCCCCGUGCAAGGAUGAUGUGCAAAUUCAUGAAGAUUCCAUAUUUUUA
This is a small nuclear RNA of Panthera leo (lion), 107 nucleotides long. NCBI's taxonomy places the organism in Eukaryota, Metazoa, Chordata, Mammalia, Carnivora, Felidae. The record is from Ensembl.